CCUACGGGUGGCUGCAGUGGGGAAUAUUGGACAAUGGGGGCAACCCUGAUCCAGCCAUGCCGCGUGUGUGAAGAAGGCCCUCGGGUUGUAAAGCACUUUCAGUGAGGAAGAACGCCUGGUGGUUAAUACCCAUCAGGAAAGACAUUACUCACAGAAGAAGCACCGGCUAACUCCGUGCCAGCAGCCGCGGUAAUACGGAGGGUGCGAGCGUUAAUCGGAAUUACUGGGCGUAAAGCGCGCGUAGGUGGCUUGAUAAGCCGGUUGUGAAAGCCCCGGGCUCAACCUGGGAACGGCAUCCGGAACUGUCAAGCUAGAGUGCAGGAGAGGAAGGUAGAAUUCCCGGUGUAGCGGUGAAAUGCGUAGAGAUCGGGAGGAAUACCAGUGGCGAAGGCGGCCUUCUGGACUGACACUGACACUGAGGUGCGAAAGCGUGGGUAGCAAACAGGAUUAGAUACCCCAGUAGUC
Molecule: ribosomal RNA, 465 nt
Filed under: Vreelandella stevensii
Lineage: Bacteria; Pseudomonadati; Pseudomonadota; Gammaproteobacteria; Oceanospirillales; Halomonadaceae
Description: partial 16S ribosomal RNA
Rfam family: Bacterial small subunit ribosomal RNA
Source: RNAcentral